UAGUCGAUCGUGACAGGAGGAAGUCUGGAAGAGAUUUGGAGAGUAGUUGAUCACUGUAGAAAAUCGACUGAUAGUGAAGCCCAAAGAGCAUUUGAAGCGGUCCGAUAGAUGAAUGAAGGAGCUCAUUAUUGGAGAAGUCCGGAUGGCAUGAUAGGAGUUCGUUUGUUGGAGAAAUCUAGAGGACACUAUGGAAGGUCGACUGCUGGAGAAGUCUGGAUGGUACUGUGGAAGCUUGGACAAUCGGAGGAGAUCAGAAAGAUGCCGCACA
RNAcentral lists this long non-coding RNA (268 nucleotides) under Elaeis guineensis (African oil palm). RNAcentral describes it as "long non-coding RNA (EGUI_LNC075056)". The record is from RNAcentral. Lineage: Eukaryota; Viridiplantae; Streptophyta; Magnoliopsida; Arecales; Arecaceae.